UUUGUUGUUCCCUGCUUCUGGUGAUAUGUUUUCCCCAAGUAGAUGUGGGUGUGUCCGAUCUCUCAAUAUAGAGUCCGCCCCAUAAGCAGAAAGUGUUUAUCCUUUCCUUCCAUAUUCCCCACUAAGUUAUAUCCUCGUGGAUGAUGGUUGUUUCAGUUUCCUCCCAACACAUAUAUUGGGAUGAGUGUCCCCUAUUGAGU
This 200-nucleotide long non-coding RNA is filed under the name Lathyrus oleraceus (garden pea). Its description in RNAcentral is "Pisum sativum (pea) long non-coding RNA (PSAT_LNC036345)". Lineage: Eukaryota; Viridiplantae; Streptophyta; Magnoliopsida; Fabales; Fabaceae. The record is from RNAcentral.